UAGGGAAUCUUCCACAAUGGACGAGAGUCUGAUGGAGCAACGCCGCGUGAGUGAAGAAGGGUUUCGGCUCGUAAAACUCUGUUGUUAAAGAAGAACAUAUCUGAGAGUAACUGUUCAGGUAUUGACGGUAUUUAACCAGAAAGCCACGGCUAACUACGUGCCAC
RNAcentral lists this ribosomal RNA (164 nucleotides) under uncultured bacterium. RNAcentral's name for it is "partial 16S rRNA". It matches the Rfam family "Bacterial small subunit ribosomal RNA", at positions 355 to 511 of the family's 1533-position model. The record is from RNAcentral.